The sequence is a transfer RNA, 85 nucleotides long. It matches the Rfam family "tRNA". From Rfam's summary of the family: Transfer RNA (tRNA) molecules are approximately 80 nucleotides in length. Their secondary structure includes four short double-helical elements and three loops (D, anti-codon, and T loops).
GCUCAGGUGGCGGAAUUGGUAGACGCGCCAGAUUUAGGUUCUGGUAUCGAGAGGUGUGAGAGUUCGAUUCUCUCCCUGAGCACCA